CGUUGCUUCGGCGGGCGGCCCCGGGGUUUACCCCCCGGGCGCCCCUGGGCCCCACCGCGGGCGCCCGCCGGAGGUCACCAAACUCUUGAUAAUUUAUGGCCUCUCUGAGUCUUCUGUACUGAAUAAGUCAAAACUUUCAACAACGGAUCUCUUGGUUCUGGCAUCGAUGAAGAACGCAGCGAAAUGCGAUAAGUAAUGUGAAUUGCAGAAUUCAGUGAAUCAUCGAAUCUUUGAACGCACAUUGCGCCCGCCAGUAUUCUGGCGGGCAUGCCUGUUCGAGCGUCAUUUCAACCAUCAAGCCCCCGGGCUUGUGUUGGGGACCUGCGGCUGCCGCAGGCCCUGAAAAGCAGUGGCGGGCUCGCUGUCGCACCGAGCGUAGUAGCAUACAUCUCGCUCUGGUCGCGCCGCGGGUUCCGGCCGUUAAACCACCUUUUAACCCAAGGUUGACCUCGGAUCAGGUAGGAAGACCCGCUGAACUUAAGCAUAUCAA
This 490-nucleotide ribosomal RNA is filed under the name Chaetomium globosum. RNAcentral describes it as "eukaryotic LSU rRNA". The stretch from base 132 to 285 matches the Rfam family "5.8S ribosomal RNA". Lineage: Eukaryota; Fungi; Ascomycota; Sordariomycetes; Sordariales; Chaetomiaceae. The record is from RNAcentral.